RNAcentral lists this ribosomal RNA (468 nucleotides) under uncultured bacterium. RNAcentral's name for it is "partial 16S ribosomal RNA". It matches the Rfam family "Bacterial small subunit ribosomal RNA", at positions 28 to 507 of the family's 1533-position model. The record is from RNAcentral.
GACGAACGCUGGCGGCGUGCUUAACACAUGCAAGUCGAACGGAAAGGCCCUGCUUUUGUGGGGUGCUCGAGUGUCGAACGGGUGAGUAACACGUGAGUAACCUGCCCUUGACUUUGGGAUAACUUCAUGAAACUGGGGCUAAUACCGGAUAGGAGCUCCGGCUGCAUGGUGGGGGUUGGAAAGUUUCGGCGGUUGGGGAUGGACUCGCGGCUUAUCAGCUUGUUGGUGGGGUAGUGGCUUACCAAGGCUUUGACGGGUAGCCGGCCUGAGAGGGUGACCGGCCACAUUGGGACUGAGAUACGGCCCAGACUCCUACGGGAGGCAGCAGUGGGGAAUAUUGCACAAUGGGCGGAAGCCUGAUGCAGCAACGCCGCGUGCGGGAUGACGGCCUUCGGGUUGUAAACCGCUUUCGCCUGUGACGAAGCGUGAGUGACGGUAAUGGGUAAAGAAGCACCGGCUAACUACGUG